Molecule: ribosomal RNA, 158 nt
Filed under: Boletus cf. rubellus Nara red1
Lineage: Eukaryota; Fungi; Basidiomycota; Agaricomycetes; Boletales; Boletaceae
Description: 5.8S ribosomal RNA
Rfam family: 5.8S ribosomal RNA
About the family: 5.8S ribosomal RNA (5.8S rRNA) is a component of the large subunit of the eukaryotic ribosome. It is transcribed by RNA polymerase I as part of the 45S precursor that also contains 18S and 28S rRNA. Functionally, it is thought that 5.8S rRNA may be involved in ribosome translocation.
Source: RNAcentral
AACUUUCAGCAACGGAUCUCUUGGCUCUCGCAUCAAUGAAAAAACCCAGCCGAAUUGCGAUAAGUAAUGUGAAUUGCARAUUUUCAGUGAAUCAUCGAAUCUUUGAACGCACCUUGCGCUCCUUGGUAUUCCGAGGAGCAUGCCUGUUUGAGUGUCAU